RNAcentral lists this ribosomal RNA (349 nucleotides) under uncultured bacterium. RNAcentral describes it as "partial 16S ribosomal RNA". It matches the Rfam family "Bacterial small subunit ribosomal RNA", at positions 338 to 684 of the family's 1533-position model. The record is from RNAcentral.
CCUACGUGUGGCAGCAGUGAGGAAUAUUGGUCAAUGGGCGCGAGCCUGAACCAGCCAAGUAGCGUGAAGGAUGACUGCCCUACGGGUUGUAAACUUCUUUUAUAAAGGAAUAAAGUGAGGCACGUGUGCCUUUUUGUAUGUACUUUAUGAAUAAGGAUCGGCUAACUCCGUGCCAGCAGCGGCGGUAAUACGGAGGAUCCGAGCGUUAUCCGGAUUUAUUGGGUGUAAAGGGAGCGUAGAUGGGUUGUUAAGUCAGUUGUGAAAGUUUGCGGCUCAACCGUAAAAUUGCAAUUGAUACUGGCCGUCUUGAGUACAGUUGAGGUAGGCGGAAUUCGUGGUGUAGCGGUGA